UGCAAGUCGAGCGGACCGACGGGAGCUUGCUCCCUUAGGUCAGCGGCGGACGGGUGAGUAACACGUGGGUAACCUGCCUGUAAGACUGGGAUAACUCCGGGAAACCGGGGCUAAUACCGGAUGCUUGAUUGAACCGCAUGGUUCAAUCAUAAAAGGUGGCUUUUAGCUACCACUURCAGAUGGACCCGCGGCGCAUUAGCUAGUUGGUGAGGUAACGGCUCACCAAGGCGACGAUGCGUAGCCGACCUGAGAGGGUGAUCGGCCACACUGGGACUGAGACACGGCCCAGACUCCUACGGGAGGCAGCAGUAGGGAAUCUUCCGCAAUGGACGAAAGUCUGACGGAGCAACGCCGCGUGAGUGAUGAAGGUUUUCGGAUCGUAAAACUCUGUUGUUAGGGAAGAACAAGUACCGUUCGAAUAGGGCGGUACCUUGACGGUACCUAACCAGAAAGCCACGGCUAACUACGUGCCAGCAGCCGCGGUAAUACGUAGGUGGCAAGCGUUGUCCGGAAUUAUUGGGCGUAAAGCGCGCGCAGGCGGUUUCUUAAGUCUGAUGUGAAAGCCCCCGGCUCAACCGGGGAGGGUCAUUGGAAACUGGGGAACUUGAGUGCAGAAGAGGAGAGUGGAAUUCCACGUGUAGCGGUGAAAUGCGUAGAGAUGUGGAGGAACACCAGUGGCGAAGGCGACUCUCUGGUCUGUAACUGACGCUGAGGCGCGAAAGCGUGGGGAGCGAAAGGGAUUAGAUACCCUGGUAGUCCACGCCGUAAACGAUGAGUGCUAAGUGUUAGAGGGUUUCCGCCCUUUAGUGCUGCAGCAACGCAUUAA
This 826-nucleotide ribosomal RNA is filed under the name Bacillus sp. 405B3_12ACASO. RNAcentral's name for it is "bacterial SSU rRNA". It matches the Rfam family "Bacterial small subunit ribosomal RNA", at positions 56 to 863 of the family's 1533-position model. The record is from RNAcentral. Lineage: Bacteria; Bacillati; Bacillota; Bacilli; Caryophanales; Bacillaceae.